Molecule: long non-coding RNA, 1950 nt
Organism: Mercenaria mercenaria
Lineage: Eukaryota; Metazoa; Mollusca; Bivalvia; Venerida; Veneridae
Exons: 5
Source: RefSeq, a predicted model, not a curated record
UAGUACUAGAGCCGAUUUACGCAAUCGAAUACCGCCGGAAGUAGAACAUUUAUGUCAACACCGGUUUCGUAUUUUCACGUGAAAACGGCCGAAAACUGAGAGGUUAUCAACAAAUUAUAAGUUUACGGGUACCAUGAGGAUUUUUCAUGCAUUUAAACGAAAGAAGUACAAGCGAACAGAUGACAAAUUAAAGUGGCUGCAGAAGCUUGAAAAGUUAGAUAGAGCAGGGGCAGUCAAAACAGUGGGAUAAUACUUCUAUGGUGUCCAACAUGUCUAGUCAGGUUGACAGAAGUGAAAGAUGGUCUGAUGGUACAAUGAUGUACAAAUGAUACUCUUUAACAAGUUGAACAUGUCAAGGUUUAAAAUGUUCUGUGGAUUCAUAUGAUGAGAAUGCCAGUGUUGAUCUGUAUGACUUAAUUAAACACAGAUAUUGAUACCUUCAGAUAUAUACCUGUGAAAUCUUCAGUGUCACCGUUCAGCUAUUGUUCAAGAUCAGUGUCUGCAGCUUGCACAGUUUAGUAUAGAGGAGCCUUCUGAAUCAACUUUGUUACAUAUUUGCUGUUAUUGUAGGACACGCAUGUAGAGAGCAGCAAGUCCUGUCCAGCCGUGCAUAUAAAUGUGAUUCAGAAACUUUGAGAAUAUGUAAACAUUACACUGUUAUAAUUUUCAAAAUACUGUGUCUUGUAGUGUAUCAGUACUGUUUUGUCUCAGUUUAUAGCACAGUAUGUUCACAAAUCAAACAUAAGACCAUAGUGAUCAGUAUUAUUAAAAUCAUUAAUUAUUUGUAUGGUGACAAAAUUUAAUUUCAUGCAAUACCACAGUAAAACGUUUGAUAAUUUUCGCUUUUAAAGUCGUACGUUUAAGGUUGGCAUAAAUUGUUUUUUUUUUCUUUCAUAAAUCUAAAAAGUGAUUGGUCAUUAUAACUGCAAUAUUAUUUUAGUAUGACAAAGUUUAUAUUGAACUAAAACACUAAUGUAAAUUUUUGAACUAAUCAAUGCAUUUUCUUCAGUCUUAAAACAUUUGUUUAUCGUACGUGUCAUGGCCCAUAACUCCUCCAUAUUACUUGUGUUUUGUCCUUUUUCAUUUCACUGAAGAAUAGGUAGAGGUAUUGCACAUCCAUUUUUUAGCAUCCUGAUUUUGUAAAGUGUUGUAUGUAAGGUUUUAUCUCGGAAUUAUGUCUCAUCUAAAGGUGGGGAGAGGUAUUAAUUAUGCCUUCUCGUCUAUCCGCAUUAAGCCUGUCUGGCUUUAAGAGGACAAGCUGCUGGCCAGAUUUUGAUGAAACUUCACAGGACUGAUCAGUACGAAGCAUAGUGUUGUGCAUAUCGCUUGCAUGUUUCGUUUUGAUGCACUAAAUUGCAGCCAUAGCUAAAAAUAGAAAAAUCUUGUCGGCUUUCACAGGUUAAAACUACUUAACAGAUUUUGAUGAAACUUCACAGGAGUGAUCAGUACCAAGUAUAUUUUUGCAUAUCACCAACACUUUCCAUUUUGCUGCACAAAAUAGCCGCCAAAGCUAAAGGUAUACAUAGGUGGGAGACAUGUUUUGUCAUAAAAAUACCUAAAGCACCUUCCACUUUGUUAAUGAAAAAUGUAACAAACGUCUUACAAUUGCAAACUGUAAUAAUUUGACAUUAAAUGCACUAGUUCCAUAACUGCAUUUGGCUUUUUUCAUAAUUAUUGCCCUUUUCUUACCAUAGCAAUAUUUUGUGUAACAUGUUACCUCAUUAAGCAUCAUAAGAUCAGAAAGUUCUAUGACUCAGACAUGUUGGCCCUUUUGUACUUGUCAUGAGUAUGUUUUCAGUAUUUUAAAUUGUCAUUACUUUUUGUUGUGCCAGUUUACGGAAAUGAAGACUUAGUUGUCCAAAUGGUGUGCCUGUGCCUGUCCUGAUUUGUUUGUCUGGACAAUAUAUUAUUGAUUAGUCUUCACGAAACUUUGCAGGUUAAUUUCCUUAC